Molecule: small nuclear RNA, 107 nt
Organism: Heterocephalus glaber (naked mole-rat)
Lineage: Eukaryota; Metazoa; Chordata; Mammalia; Rodentia; Bathyergidae
Source: Ensembl
GUGCUUGCUUCGGCAGCACAUAUACUAAAAUUGGAACGAUACAGAGACGAUUAGCAUGGGCCUUGCGCACGGAUGACACGCAAAUUCUUGAAGCGUUCCAUAUUAAA